AACGAACGCUGGCGGCAUGCCUAACACAUGCAAGUCGAACGAGACCUUCGGGUCUAGUGGCGCACGGGUGCGUAACGCGUGAGAACCUGCCCUUAGGUUCGGAAUAACUCCCCGAAAGGGGUGCUAAUACCGGAUAAUGUCUUCGGACCAAAGAUUUAUCGCCUUUGGAUGGGCCCGCGUUGGAUUAGCUAGUUGGUAGGGUAAAAGCCUACCAAGGCGACGAUCCAUAGCUGGUCUGAGAGGAUGAUCAGCCACACUGGGACUGAGACACGGCCCAGACUCCUACGGGAGGCAGCAGUGGGGAAUAUUGGACAAUGGGCGAAAGCCUGAUCCAGCAAUGCCGCGUGAGUGAUGAAGGCCUUAGGGUUGUAAAGCUCUUUUAACCGGGAUGAUAAUGACAGUACCGGGAGAAUAAGCUCCGGCUAACUCCGUG
RNAcentral lists this ribosomal RNA (433 nucleotides) under uncultured bacterium. RNAcentral's name for it is "partial 16S ribosomal RNA". It matches the Rfam family "Bacterial small subunit ribosomal RNA", at positions 29 to 507 of the family's 1533-position model. The record is from RNAcentral.